UGCAAGUCGNNCGGUANCUUUUGGUGCUUGCACCGAAAGACGAGUGGCGAACGGGUGCGUAACGCGUAUGCNAUCUACCUUUUACUAGAGUAUAGCCCAGAGAAAUUUGGAUUAAUCCUCUAUAACAUCAUUAAUUCGCAUGAAUUUAUGAUUAAAGCUUCGGCGGUUAAAGAUGAGCAUGCGUCCUAUUAGUUAGUAGGUGAGGUAACGGCUCACCUAGACUACGAUAGGUAGGGGUCCUGAGAGGGAGAUCCCCCACACUGGUACUGAGACACGGACCAGACUCCUACGGGAGGCAGCAGUGAGGAAUAUUGGACAAUGGACGAAAGUCUGAUCCAGCUAUGCCGCGUGCAGGAUGACAGCCCUACGGGUUGUAAACUGCUUUUAUACAGGAAGAAAACCUUCGACGUGUCGAAGCUUGACGGUACUGUAAGAAUAAGGAUCGGCUAACUCCGUGCCAGCAGCCGCGGUAAUACGGAGGAUCCAAGCGUUAUCCGGAAUCAUUGGGUUUAAAGGGUCCGCAGGCGGUUUUUUAAGUCAGAGGUGAAAUCCUGCAGCUCAACUGUAGAAUUGCCUUUGAUACUGAAAGACUUGAGUUAUUGUGAAGUGGUUAGAAUGUGUGGUGUAGCGGUGAAAUGCAUAGAUAUCACACAGAAUACCAAUUGCGAAGGCAGAUCACUAACAAUAUACUGACGCUCAGGGACGAAAGCGUGGGUAGCGAACAGGAUUAGAUACCCUGGUAGUCCACGCCGUAAACGAUGGAUACUAGCUGUAUGUCUACUUCAGGUAGAUGUGUGGCUAAGCGAAAGUGAUAAGUAUCCCACCUGGGGAGUACGAUC
This 839-nucleotide ribosomal RNA is filed under the name uncultured bacterium. Its description in RNAcentral is "bacterial SSU rRNA". It matches the Rfam family "Bacterial small subunit ribosomal RNA", at positions 56 to 887 of the family's 1533-position model. The record is from RNAcentral.